Molecule: long non-coding RNA, 3638 nt
Organism: Lycium barbarum (goji berry)
Lineage: Eukaryota; Viridiplantae; Streptophyta; Magnoliopsida; Solanales; Solanaceae
Exons: 3
Source: RefSeq, a predicted model, not a curated record
AAAAAAGGAAAAUAGGCUAUUCCUCAUGUGUACAAAGUCUUUCUCUACUCCCUCAAAAGAUCUUCUAUUCCUCUCUCGCCAUAUGAUAUCUUAACAGAUGCGAUUCGUAGUAACUCUAUUCGCAUAAGGUUCUUGUCAGAAAAUUUAUUCAUAAUAAGGAAAUUGAGAAGCAUAUUAACCCAGAACAUAUUUCAGGAAAUUCUAAAAUAGACUUAACAGUUGAGCCCCGUUUCAUUUCGACCUGAUCCAAGCUCUGGCAGUCUGGCACAGCCCACACGGUCCAUUCAGCCUAUUCACCGACUUAGGGCUGACGAUGUUUAUUUGUUUGGCAUGUGAUUUCACCAAUUUACCCUUGAUGUAGAUAUAUUGUGUUAUCUGUGAGUUCUCAUCUUCUUUACCCUAAUAUGGCCGUCUUGCUCGCCAUUCUCUCACUUCCUUUCUAAAAUCUUUGGUUUCUUUGUAAGAUUUCUACUUUUCUGUGUUGAAUCUGCAUAAAUCUAAUGAAUCUUUCAUUAGCUAUGGACCGAGAUAGAGAGCACUGUGCUUUCCGAUCCUAGUUCUUUACAAGGUAUUCUCGACUAAUAGCUGCUCAUGAUGUUUCCUUACUCCCUAUCUCAUCCAUCUUCUUUUCCCAUGAUUUUUGUCUGUCAGUCCUCUCUGGCCCACAUCUUUGAUACUAAAAAAGAAAUUUGAAAGUCUUGAGUGGAAGAAACGUUAGACAGCUGAGUUGGAGGUAGGAGGAAAGUCGUAUUUGUUAGCAUUCCUGCUGGAAUCCAGUAGGAAAUAUCUUCGGGAAAAAAGGACAGGGUGCUAUGUGGCUGAUCCAUUUGCCAAAAUUGUUGCUGGACUCCAAUUAGGGAAAUAAAUAUUACAGAAAAGUUGGAUAAUCGAGUUGGAGGUGAAAAAUGAAGUUGCAGCAAAGGUCCUAAGUGAAUAACUAGUUCUUGCCCGAAGUAAUUCCUACUGGAUUCUAGCAGAAUGCUAGAAAAUACAGCGGUCCCGUGUCACUGCCACAUUCUCCAUGGAACUGGAGUAUUGGACUUAUAGCUCGAUCCCUAUCCAGGUUCCAUCUAUGCAUCCUGUGAAUGGAGCAAUGGUAAGCGAGGUAAUUCCCUUUUAGGACAACCUGCAACUCGUUCCUGCUGAUCAGUUUUCACAGAUUAGUCUUGUUUCGGGAAGCUGAGAAAUAAAUACAGGAAGAACAUGGGGUACUCUAAUUCUGCAGUUCAACUGGUGAAUUUCCUAGUGGAUCGCAGGUCAAAGUUAACGAGCUAGUUUUUUUAAAACAAAAUAAAAAGUUAGGCCCAAUCCAUUUUCUUAACAUGGUAUCAAAAUCAGACUCAUCCUAAUUCUUUGUUUACCUAAUGAUGACUUUCAUGUUACUUCAUAAAAAAAAAAAUGAUGAGUUUCAUGUUAUGUUGUUCACGCUCUAGGUGUUCAACCCUUGGGCAUGCACGGGGUGUAAGCAUCCCACAUUGGCUGGGAGUAUGGUAUAGUCUCAUUAUAUGGUAUUGAGCAGCCCUCACUUCAUGAAUUAGCUUUUGGAUUAAGUAAGAGCCAAGAUCCAUUUUUUUAACACAUAGAAUGCCUUAGAAUAUCUUUAAACUCAAUUACGGUAAUAGAUCCCAACUGUUUAAUGGGUGAUUUUGGUUUGAUCACACAAUCUAUUGCUCGAUCUCGAGCCUUUCACUUACCAGAUUAUGUCAAUCUCGAGCAACAAAAGCUUAGGCUUCUGUCAAGCCUGGAUGUAAGAGGUUAAGCUUGCUUCAGAUUAAGCUCGUUUAGACUAAUUUGCAUCAAUGCGUAACAGGAGGUAUUGAAAUCUUACAUUCGGGUCCUUUAGGAUGCUAGAAUCAAAUUUAGCUCUUUUGGCUUUCAUGAUCUGAGAUGGUAAGAGAAGGCUAAUGCAACAGAUAUUGCUAGGUUCUAGGCAUGACACACGCAAAAGCACUAGUUUGGAGGGGAAAAACCCCUAAUAAGUGUGUAAAUGAUGAAGGCAUUGCACUGACUUCUCAUAUAAGGACCAGGGAAAUAUGGCCAAUUUCUCAUUGAUCUGUGGUCCUUUUGACCUCACAUUCAUCUCAUCUUCUUCUUCUUCUUUUUUUUUUUUUUUUUUUUGGUUGAUGACAUGGGAACCCGCAGCCGCUACCCUUCGGGUGCGCACAGGAUAAAUACAGCUUCUAUGCAAUGGCUCGCAAACCACAUAGGAGAGAUAACCCACACUAGGCAAGCCCUGUGCGACGAGCUCGACCCAGAAGGCAAAACACUUGUUGUCGUAGGCAGGGGGUUUCGAACCUGAGACCUCCAUUAUGAAAGCCCCAUGCUCAAAUUUAGGUCCGGUGUUUGUAACAGUGCUCGCAAAUUCUAGUAAGUUCAAGCUUCCAAAACAAUUACCUUGUGUGGCGAUUUCUUGACAAUUAUGUAUUCCACUUGGUAAUUUUCAUGUCAUUUUAAACUUUUACCAAAUCAAUUAAACUUAGUGACUUUAAUGAAGACUAUGAAUGUAUGCCAAGUUUUAAUUAUAAUGGUCCACUAAGUUUAUUGGUUUUGGUGAAAAUUGAGAGUGAUAUGAGAGUCACUAAGUUGAUUACUACAAUUGUGAAGAAAUCACCUCGCAAAGUAGCUCUUCUAGAAGCUAAAACUUACUUCAAUCUGCAAGCACUCUACAAACACCACAUGGAAAUGAGGUGACCUCGAGUCUUGCCUAUAAACACUAUUGGCUUAUGUUGCACUUAACCCAAGAAAUAUCUACGGGAAAAGAACACAACCUCGUCUAGAUUCUAUACCAGGACUAGUUAUUCACAUAUGACUUUUACUACAACUCAGUUUUUUACUUCCAACUCAAAUACCCAACGUUUCAAGAAGUAAUUAUUUCCCUAAUUGGAGUCCAACAACAAUUUUGGCAUAUGUACCAAUCACGUAGCGCCCUGCCAUUUUUGCCCGAAGUUAUUUUCCUACUGGAUUCCAGCACAAUGCUGGCAAAUACAGCAGCUCUCCUCCUAGCAAACAUACAUUCUCCUAGUUCACCUGUACCACUGCCACAUUCUCCAUGGAACUGGAGUACUGGACUUACAGCUCGAACUCUAUCCGGAUUCCGUCUAAGAAUCAUGAGAAUGGAGCAAUGGUAAGCGAGAUAAGCUGAUAGAGUAAAUACAGGAAGAACAUGGGGAACUCUAAUUCUGCAGCUAAACUGGUGGCAUACAGAGGAAUCCUUCGUCAAGUUCUUUCCUACACUUAUCUCCAAUGAUAAAAAGGUAAAAAAAUAUGCUGAAUCAAUCUUCACAAAUAUUCUCAACCCUUAAUUAUGUAUUUUUGAGGAUACGAGAUCCUCAUUGCUCUUUUAACAAAUAAAUGAAGUUAAGAAAUGUCCAGCAUGAACAGGAAAAACUAGUAUACCUAUACACAAGAAAAAACUAGUUUUCAUCCAAUACUAUUCCUUACUGUCAACUUCCUUAUGAAUUCUCCUCCAAGUAAUUAGUUUAGUUCUUCUUAUGUCUCGAGUUCAGAAGUCCUUUUAAUCUGAUGGGAAAAACAGAUAUUUCAAAUAUUGAAUGAAUUGUGGAAACAUUUGUCCCAAAAAAAAGUACUCCCUUCGUCCCAAUUUAUGUGGCACCUUUCGUAUUUCGAGAUUCAAACGA